This 2626-nucleotide long non-coding RNA is filed under the name Equus caballus (horse). RNAcentral's name for it is "lncRNA (ENSECAG00000050956.1)". Lineage: Eukaryota; Metazoa; Chordata; Mammalia; Perissodactyla; Equidae. The record is from RNAcentral.
GUUGGGUUAAUUUUAUUCCUAGGCAUUCUGCCUUUUAGGUGUAUAUAAAACUGACCAUGUGUAGAUGAUGUUGAAACAAUAUUUCUGUGAAAAUGUAUGAGAAAGCUCAUUGCUUCUCUUCCUCUUUACCCCUCAUGCCUUGGGUAAGAGGACUUCUUAGCUCCCCAUCUUGAUUUCUGUGACACUAAUGUCAGAGGGCUCUGCACCCUACCCCUCCUCCUUGCCAUCAUCUGUUAACUUCCCACUCACUGUGCAGUUUGGCACAGGGCUACCAGGGUUGUUCUCUCCUUCAAAGCAGCCAUCUUUCUGGGAGACUUGCCGAUGACCUAUCCAACAAAUUUACCUUUCAAACUCAUGAUCUCCUCUGUCCAUUCCAGCCACCCUGCCCCUGCCCCUGACUGGAGCUCCUUCACCUCUGACCAGCAUUGCUUGCUCUCCCUGCUCUGCCCUCCCAACUAUCACAUUAUCCUCUCACUCCACCAAGAACCAGACCCUUCCCAUCUGUCCACUCCAUCCUAGCUUCACCUCCUUCCUCUUGGUGGACCACCACUUCCGCCUCUCUUGUCAACAUCUCCAACUUCCUUGCUUGCUUGUCUCCCUUGUCCAGCAAGGCCCAGACCUGGAUCAGCCUCACCGUAGCCUUAUCCAUGCCUAUCUCAGGGUUCAUGGGAUGGCAAAGAAAGCCCACAACCCCACAGAUUAGUGCCUCCACAAACCCAUGGCCUCCAACCUCAGUAGGCCGUCACUACUGCCCUGCAGUCUCUGUGAGUUGCUAUUAGCUUUCUCUCCUCUUUUCCAUAGCAGCCAUCUUCAACAUUUUCCUCUUUCUCCAAGCUUCCCACUGCAUCCCAUUUCCUCACAUUGAGCAGAUAUCCUUGCCUCCAACAUCACAAGAGAAGUAAUGGCUAUCGGGUAUGAACUCCCUCCAUUUCCUGAGUCCGCCUCCCAAUUACCUACCUACUGACUACUGACUCACUUGCAUCUCCAAAUCCUCCUUCAUUUCUCCCUUCCCAUCUCAGGGGAAAAGUGGGCUGUCCUCCUGCCUGAGGCUCACUCUGAACCCCACCACCUCCCACCCUCUUGUUGAUUUCACUCCAUCCUUCAACCCCUCUCUUUCCUGUAUCCUCAACUGUCUGUUUACUGGCUUUUCCCCAUAAGCAUUUUUAAAUGUCCCAAUCUCUCCCAACUUUAAACAAAAUUGUCUCUCAACUCUACAUCCUUUUUGGUUUUCUCCCUCCUCCCCUUCAAAAACAUUCCCAAGAAUUAUCUACAUCCAUUUCCCAUGCACUUAGCCUUCUACCCAUGCUACUCCACUGAACCUACUUUCUCCAAGGUCGCCAGUGACCUCUUUGUUGUUAAAUUUGGUGUUCACUUGUUCAGACUUUGGCUUACCUGACUAUUCUGCACCAUGCCACCUCACUUCCUCCAUGUGGCUUCCAUGGCACACCAAUCUUUGGUUUUCUUCCUAUCUCUCUGACUGUUCUUCUCACCUUUCCUUCUGGGUUCCUCUUCCUCUACCUGUCCCUUAAAUGUUGGUAUUUUCCAAGGAUUUUGGUCUUCUCUUUCACCCUCUCUGAGGGAUUUCAUCCAUCCCCAUAGCUUCAAUUAUCAUGUAUAUGUCAGUAACUUGAUAACUUAAGACUCUUCCAGAUCAGAUCUCUCAAGAUGACAGGUUCUCAGGCUCUACAUUUUUGGUUUGAAUUAGGUUCAGGGUAAUAGACUCCCUGGUUACUUCUUCUUGGCCAUGAGUUAGUUAUUUGCAUAUAUUAAGGCAUUCUCUCAAGAUAAGCUCCAAAUCACCUACUGGACAUGUCACCUGGAUGUUUCCUACUCACCUCAAACUUACCUCCUCCUCUUCCUGCCUAAACCUGUUUCUUUACCAUUCCACACCUCAGGGGAAAGUACCAUCAUCCAUCCACCUAGUUACCCAAGGCAGACACCCAGGCAUCACCCUCGACUCCAUGCCCUCCGUGCCCUCAGUUUAUCACUCACAAAGUCCUCUGAAUAUUUACCUCUUUACUACAUCUCAGAUGCACCUUCUCUUUUCCAUCUUCAUACACUGUGCUGGAUCACUGCAGCAGCUUCCAACCCACAUCCCAGCCUCGUCUUCUCCUGGCCAUUCUCCAUACAGGCCCUAUACCUUUCCAAAAUGCACAUCUCCUUAAAGAUUUUCAUUAUCUUUAGAAUAAAGUUAAAUUCCUCAACCUGGCAUACUAGGCUCUUCAAAACCCAGCCCUGGUUAUUCACUCCAACCUCACAUCUGAGAUUCAGCAUUCUGGUUUAUCUCCUUGUUACUUAAUUAGAAGACCCAUAGAACUUUACUGAGACCCUUUUCCCUCCUUUAAGAAAGUAGGAAACUAGCUCAAUGUUCCUCAAGAAUGCUUUAAAACUCUAGCUUCUAAGCAUCUAGAAUUCCAUUCUCUUACGGUUCUCUGCUCUAAAGCCACCCCUAAAAAAUAACAAAACAAAUAUAGUGAGCAUAUACCUGACAAAAACCAUACAACUAAUAAGAGAGAGAAUGGGUAUUUGAAUCCAGAUUACCAAGGACCUUACCUCCUGCCUGUUUAUUCACAGUGAAACCAAUUUCUGAUAACCCAAGAUGAAGAACGUGGAAACAGACUACCAU